Molecule: long non-coding RNA, 304 nt
Filed under: Bos taurus (domestic cattle)
Lineage: Eukaryota; Metazoa; Chordata; Mammalia; Artiodactyla; Bovidae
Description: long non-coding RNA NONBTAT018690
Source: RNAcentral
CAAGCAACAUUAAUGUGUGAGUCCCAUGAGAAGGCUUUCGUUUUUACCAUAUCCUACAGGGCUGAUUAUAACAGCUGUGGCUUAUUCAGGACUCACCCCCUGUUGUCAUUCAGUUUCCGGGAAGCAGUAUAAGAUGAGGAGACUCUUGAUCUCCUGAAGUUUGAGAGAGUUGAAGGCUAAUGCACAUUUGGCCUGAUUAAAAUUCCACUUUUUGCUAUUAUCACUAACACUUAUGGUUGACUGUAGAGUUGGCUGAACAUGUCUUUCUGCACACCAACUAGAAAGUGUUUAUAGAGUGAGUUCA